GCCACGACCACAGCACCGGCAACCCGGCCUGCGACGUCUGGAGAUUCCCUCCAUCAACGCUAGGCGCGCCACCGAAUAGACAGAUUGAUUUCAACACUAUUGUAGGAAACCUUCACUCCAUUCAUUGACAAUGUUUUGAUCUCAAUCUGAUGUGUACAUGAUCGUGCUAAUUUAGAAUCUUUAUUUUAACUAAACUCCCUAUCAAAAGUAGGAUUUAUAUAUAAUGAAUUGAUUAGUCAGUGCCUAAUAGUCGUCUCCUGAAUUACAGAUAAAAUUCCGACUAGUAAAUGCUGUAGAAGUACCCUAAAUUAAUCGCUAUUUUCAUUCGUAACUUGGUAGGUUAGAUCUUUACUAUGACAAGUGAAUUAUACAAAGUAAUGUUUCUGAUUUCUACAGGUUGGAUUUGAUGCCUAAAAUUGUCAUUAUUUCUCUAAAUUAGAACUAUACACUAUUAUACUACGACAGAUAUCGAUGAAAAUUGGAUUGUUCCUUGUGAAUUUGGCAUAAAAAAUGCACUAUUAAAUCUUGAAGCAUUUCAAAAUAAAGUUGCUAUCAAGAAUAGUGCCAAGUUUGUUUGACGCAACAAACUUCAAGAUUUAAUAUCGAUAUGGAUGCCCAGCACCAAACAGCCACCCCGCCACCACGACCUGGAUACAGUUGCGUUGCCUGUAAGCGCCCGGAUUCGGCCGAUAAUAUCGUAGCCUGCGAUACAUGCAGUCUUUGGUGGCAUUACACAUGCGCCGGUGUCACCGAUUCGGUAAGAGACCAGGAGUGGACAUGUAGGAGAUGCCUACCAGCUCCCACGGUACCACAGUCGGUACGAUCCACUACGUCGAGUCGCAGAGCCAUCCUCCAAAUGAAACGGCUGGCUGAGCAGCAAGAACUAGAGAGAAAGCAGCUGGAAUUGGAGAGGAAACAGUUGGAACUUCAGAAGAAGCACUCGCAGGAGAAAUUCGAUCUGGAAGAGACGUUAGCGGAAGAGGAAGACAAUCGUAGUGUCAGAAGCCGCGUGAUCGAGAUUGAGUCUCGAGAGAAGCAGGUAUCCACAUGGAUUGAUCAGCAUACCCCCGCAACCAACCAACCGGUCGUCCCAGCUUCGCAUGUAGCAGCGCUUACUGAGCUUCCACAGCCGAUGCAGCCGCUGAUCAACAAUCUACCGGAUGAGGAACAAGGAGCUGUAGGAGGAUAUGAUUGUUUGAGACAGCCAGACCCCCAGAAAGCUACCACGCCCACCGAUGAAGUGACGAUCGAGCGAGCUGUGCAAUCAGGUUUUCAACGACUGCAGCAGCAGCUGGCACAGUGCCAACAACAGCCAGAACCGACACUUGCACAGAUUCAAGAUCUGGAGGCACAAUUGCAGAGAUUUCGGAUUCAACUACAGCAGCGAAACCAGUCAACUCCUCUCAAGCUACCUGUGCCAAGCACGAGUAAAGGUGCGAUUCCCAAAGCGCAAUGUAUAACGCAGACGAACAGGACGCGAGAAUCAGUUGAGAAGCAGACAGAUCCUCUUGUAGAUCAGCACGGCAGAGACACUGUUCCUCUAGCUAAAUCGGUUCCGAUGGCAGCUCCAUUAGAGCAAUCGCGACAGGUAAUAUUCUCGAAUCGUUCUGCCAGCAAUCUGAUUUCAAACGAGCAACCGCGUUCCCAUCAAGCGCGAUCGGAUCUUCUUCCACAUGAAACAGAUUCAUACGAGCAGCCGCGUACGCUUCACGCGCCCUCGAACAUUCUUCCUCCAGGAUCGGAUCCAUUCAGACAGCAGCACUCGGCGCAGUUCAACUAUUACGAUGCUCCAGGCAAUUCGAGCUCACUUGCGCAGCCGCAGGUCUAUUCUGCACCGUCGAGUUUCCCAGCUGUAUUACCGACCGCCGUUCUACGUCGACCAUCCCAAGAACAACUCGCUGCAAGACAGGUGAUGCCACGCGAUCUGCCCGAGUUCUCAGGUGACCCAGAAGAAUGGCCGAUAUUCUUUAGCAGUUUCACUAACUCCACGGCCGCUUGUGGGUUCAGUAAUGUGGAGAAUCUCGCCCGCCUGCAACGCUGCCUGAAAGGUAGCGCCUUGAAGUCAGUGCGAUACUAUCUCCUAUCACCUGACUCCGUUCCGGAUGUGAUGGACACACUACGAACGUUGUAUGGACGCCCGGAGGUUAUUAUCAACAGGCUUAUUCGAACCGUGCGCGAGACGCCAAAUCCCAAGUCCGAGAGAUUGGACUCCCUAAUUGACUUCGGAAUGUCCGUCAGAAACCUGACCCAACAUCUGGUUGCAGCCGGCCAGCAAGCGCACCUGGCGAACCCGGCGCUGCUUCAAGAAUUAGUUGAAAAACUACCAGCCAACGUGAAACUGCAGUGGGCGCAGCAUUUGUCAUUUCGCCCUGAUGCAAGUUUGCGGAAUUUUAGCGAUUUUAUGUCAACAAUAGUUGAGUCGGUUAGCAAAGUGGUUAUUUUUUCCGGCGGACAGCAGGACAAGUCGCGAAGCAAAGACAAAAGUUUCGUCCAUGCACACGCUGAGCAACCAACAUCGGGUAACGCAGUGAAAGACAAAACGGAGCAGGAUAAAGUUUGUCUAUUCUGCGGAAAAGCUGGUCAUCGGAUGAAAGAUUGCACUAAGUUCCAAAAACUCGCAGUGGACGAUCGAUGGAAAAAUGUGCAGAUGCUGAAGGUUUGCAGAACUUGUCUUAAUCUACACGGGCGACGCACGUGCCGCAUUUCAAGUCGAUGUGGGAUAGACGGUUGCCAAUUCCGUCACCAUCAACUGCUACACCAGAAGAGCGAAGAAAUCAACAAGAAGACGCCGGAAGUCAGGAGGACAGAAGAUCAUGCACACCACCAUCAUGAGCAGUCCAUUCUGUUCCGCAUCAUUCCCAUAAAAAUCCAUGGGACUACAAAAUCCGUCAAUGCGUUUGCCUUUUUGGACGAAGGCUCUUCCGCAACGCUCGUCGAGCGCAGCUUAGUUGAAGAACUUGGGAUUGAAGGUCCAAACGUCCCGCUCUGUCUCAAGUGGACAGCAAAUAUGACAAGAAACGAAGAAGAAUCGCAGGUAGUAUCAUUGGAGGUAUCUGGAGUUGAUCAGAAGAAUCGGCUCCACCUAGUGAACGUCCGCACCGUAGAAAGUUUGAACCUACCAACUCAAACGCUCCGCUUCGAUGAACUUCAAAAGGACCACCCUCAUCUGAAAGGCCUUCCAAUCCAUAACUACGAGAACGCUACUCCUAAGCUCCUUGUAGGCCUUCGAAAUUUGCAGUUUGCAGUACCGCUGAAAGUCAAACAAGGACGAAGCGGUGUCAUAGCGACCAAAACGCGUUUGGGAUGGUGCGUAUACGGCAGUCUGGACGAGGUGCAAAACAACGCGGAGUUCAGCUACCACGUGUGUGAAUGUGAAGCCGAAGAGAAGCUGGAGCAACUAGUUAAAGAAUACUUCAAUGCUGAAGACUGUGGAGUACGCCAUCAGGAUAUCCUGGAGUCCGAUGCCGAAACGCGAGCACGGAAGAUCAUGGAAGCGACGACAAGCAGGAUAGGAAACCGUUUUGAAACCGGGCUUGUGUGGAAGACAGACAUCGUGGAGUUUCCUGACAGCUUUCCGAUGGCGUUACGCCGUCUGCAGUGCCUCGAGAGGCGCAUGGAUAAAGACCCACUUCUAAAAGAGAACAUCCACCGUCCAGUGCAGGAAUACCAACAAAAGGGCUUUGCACACCUAGCAACAGAAGACGAGCUUGCCGAGGUAGAUCCCAGGCGGAUCUGGUAUCUUCCGUUAGGAGCAGUCUACAACCCCAAAAAACCGGGGAAGGUACGAUUAAUCUGGGACGCAGCGGCAAAAGUAGACGGAAUCUCGUUGAACUCCCUUCUGCUACCCGGCCCGGACCUUCUUGUAUCGUUGGUAUCGGUGCAGUUUCUUUUUCGUCAAUAUCCAGUCGCCGUCAGUGGAGACAUCAAAGAGAUGUUCCACCAGACGAGAGUUAUCGAACGUGACCGACCUUCUCAAAGCUUCCUGUUCCGCAGCAACCCGUUACAAAAGCCAGACGUCUAUAUAAUGGACGUGUUAACCUUCGGAGCAACCAGCUCUCCAACGUCAGCUCAAUUCGUUAAGAACCGAAAUGCACAGGAGUUUGCCGACGAGUUCCCGAGAGCUGCUGAUGCCAUAAUCAAACGGCAUUACGUCGACGAUUAUCUCGACAGUUUUGAGACAAUCGACGAGGCGAAGACGGUUUCUGGCGAAGUUAAAUGGAUCCAUGCACAAGGAGGCUUCGAGAUCCGAAAUUGGUCGUCCAACCAAAAGGCAGUACUGGAUCACUUGGGAGAAGCUCCGAAACAGGAAACGAUAGAUUUGUCCUUGCAGUCGAAAACGGAGCGUGUGCUGGGAAUGCUGUGGUGCACAAGAGAGGACGUGCUAUGCUUCUCUACAGUCUUCAAGGACGAAAUCGCGACGCUGAUUGAAACGGGAACGAAACCGACUAAACGCCAGGUACUCAAAUGUAUCAUGAGUCUGUUUGACCCGUUAGGCCUACUAGCGUGCGUCCUAGUACACGGGAAGGUAAUAAUGCAGAGCAUAUGGCGUAGCGGCAUCAAAUGGGAUGAGUGUAUCGACGAAAACGUCUACCAAGAAUGGACGAAAUGGAUUGGCUUGUUGGACGACGUUAGCACUGUAAAAAUACCUAGGUGCUACUUCCACAAUGCGAGUUUGGAUCUGUACCGUUCGUUGGAAGCACACGUUUUUGUCGACGCAAGUGAAGCUGCAUACGCAGCUGUAGUUUACUUCCGUAUUGUCAACCAAAACGGAACUGGAACAUGCGCUUUAGUGUCUGCGAAAACAAAGGUGGCCCCACUAAGGUACGUCUCCAUACCAAGGUUGGAGUUGAUGGCGGCUGUCCUAGGGGUUAGAUUGUUCUCAUUCGUGCGCGACAACCAUUCCGUCAAAAUCAAUCGAGCAAUCUACUGGUCUGACUCUGAAGUUACCCUAGCUUGGAUCCGCUCGGAACAUCGGAAGUACCGCCCGUUUGUAGCCUGUCGUGUUGGUGAAAUACUGUCGUCGACCAACGUGAACGAUUGGAGACAUGUUCCCAGCAAGAUGAACGUUUCAGACGAAGCAACUAAGUGGACUGACGGGCUGUCUCUUGGAGCGUCAAGCCGCUGGUUCAAUGGCCCAGCAUAUCUGCAACUGCCGGAAAAUGAGUGGCCCAAAUCGAAACGAUCUAUUGCGACUACUGAUGAAGAGUUGAGAGCGUGUCAUCUACAUCAAGAAUCCGACGUUCUGUGCUCUCCCAUAGACUACAGCCGAUUUUCCAACUGGAAUCGGCUGCUACGUACAACGGCGUAUGUGAUCCGUUUCGGAACGCCUCGUAGUCGGAACACCUCGGGAAAAAGAAUUUAUCACUUGUUAACACAUGAAGAAUUGAAGGUAGCUGAGAUUCUGCUGUGGAAAUUAAUACAAUCAGAAGCAUAUCCGGAUGAGAUUGCGAUUCUCUCGAAAAACCGGACUCUACCGAUGGACAAACAACUAGUUCUGGAUAAAUCAAGUCCACUUUGGAGUCUGUCACCUAUGCUUGACGAAAAUGGGAUUCUUCGCAUCGAUAGCCGCAUUACAGCAGCCCAAGGAGUAGCAGAAGACCUAAAGUUUCCAAUUAUAUUACCUAGGAAGCAUUCGGUUACCAUCCUCAUCGUCAACGAUUAUCAUCGGAAGUUCCUGCACGGGAAUUCUGAAACGGUGGCCAACGAAAUACGGCAACGAUUUUAUGUUGCUCAUCUGCGCACCGUAGUUAAAGGACUGGAGAAGAGAUGUCAAUGGUGCAGAGUAUAUAAGGCCAAGCCUUCGACGCCAAGAAUGAGCCCUCUUCCGGAAGCACGUUUAUCGCCUGGUGUACGCCCGUUCACCAACAUCGGAGUCGAUUAUUUCGGGCCAAUCCUGGUGAAAGUGAAUCGAUCCGUAGCUAAACGCUGGGUGUGCUUGAUUACGUGCCUCACAAUCCGCGCUGUGCAUGUAGAGGUUGCAUAUGACCUUUCGACGAAGUCUUGUAUUGCCUGUCUACGCCGCUUUGUCUGUCGCAGGGGAGCACCGAAGGAAAUUUAUUCCGACAAUGGACGGAACUUCACCGGAGCAAAUCGCGUGCUGAGGGAUCAAAUCCACCAAAUCGAACGAGAAACAGCUACGACCUUUAUCAGCACGGAGACGAAGUGGUUCUUCAUUCCGCCAUCGUGUCCUCAUAUGGGUGGGUCAUGGGAGCGAAUGGUUCGUUCCAUCAAAACAGCCAUGACCAGCCUUCCACAAGAUGAGAAACUCAACGACGAGGGAUUGUUGACGGUACUAGCGGAGGCCGAAGCUAUCGUUAACUCCCGACCACUUACCUACCUACCGUUACACUCGGCUGAACAAGAAGCACUCACACCCAACCAUUUCAUUAUGGGAAGUUCAGGCGGAGUUACACAACCGAUCAUGACAAAAAAGGACUACGUGAGUGACAUCUACGCAUCUUGGGACCUGAUUCAACGACGGACUAAUCAUUUCUGGAAACGGUGGGUCCUGGAAUACCUGCCUACACUUACUAAGCGUACAAAGUGGUUUGGAGAAGUGAAGCCGCUCAAAAUUGGAGACCUUGUUGUAGUAAUCGAUGAAACCAGAAGGAAUGGCUGGAUACGCGGACGUGUUGUAGAAGUAGCUACAGGCAGAGAUGGCAGAAUUAGGCAGGCGAUGAUUCAGACAUCUGGUGGACUGUUCCGGCGGCCUGUCUCCAAAUUGGCUGUACUGGACGUGGCAGGACGCAGUGAGGCUGCUGGACCCAUGCAUCCUCACGGGGAGGGGGAUGUUGCCACGACCACAGCACCGGCAACCCGGCCUGCGACGUCUGGAGAUUCCCUCCAUCAACGCUAGGCGCGCCACCGAAUAGACAGAUUGAUUUCAACACUAUUGUAGGAAACCUUCACUCCAUUCAUUGACAAUGUUUUGAUCUCAAUCUGAUGUGUACAUGAUCGUGCUAAUUUAGAAUCUUUAUUUUAACUAAACUCCCUAUCAAAAGUAGGAUUUAUAUAUAAUGAAUUGAUUAGUCAGUGCCUAAUAGUCGUCUCCUGAAUUACAGAUAAAAUUCCGACUAGUAAAUGCUGUAGAAGUACCCUAAAUUAAUCGCUAUUUUCAUUCGUAACUUGGUUGAAUUUGAUGCCUAAAAUUGUCAUUAUUUCUCUAAAUUAGAACUAUACACUAUUAUACUACGCAGACAGAUAUCGAUGAAAAUUGGAUUGUUCCUUGUGAAUUUGGCAUAAAAAAUGCACUAUUAAAUGUAAGUAGUACAAUAACAUGCUAUCAGAAAAUGGUAAUAAUGAUAGAACCUGUUCCAGCUUGAAGCAUUUCAAAAUAAAGUUGCUAUCAAGAAUAGUGCCAAGUUUGUUUGAC
Aedes albopictus (Asian tiger mosquito) is the source of this 7372-nucleotide RNA transcript. RefSeq lists it as uncharacterized. The record is from RefSeq and is a predicted model, not a curated record. NCBI's taxonomy places the organism in Eukaryota, Metazoa, Arthropoda, Insecta, Diptera, Culicidae. The transcript is spliced from 5 exons.